GGAGGAGACGGUGGGUCCCUCGGCAGAUUCACUCGGGCUGGUUGCUGCGUAAUCGUCUUCGGCUGUUGGUUCCUCUGCCACAGGGGACGAUGCUUUGGGUGCUGAGGCUGACGAUGAUUUGGGUGCAGCAGCCGGUGCCUUGGUCUGCGUGGUGGGUGCUUUUGUAGGGGAGGCGGUGGGAGCAGCUGAGGGUGCCUCGGCAGCGAAUGCGGUGGCCACGACCAAGGCCAAUAGAGC
This 237-nucleotide long non-coding RNA is filed under the name Brassica rapa (field mustard). Its description in RNAcentral is "long non-coding RNA (BRAP_LNC001999)". The record is from RNAcentral. Lineage: Eukaryota; Viridiplantae; Streptophyta; Magnoliopsida; Brassicales; Brassicaceae.